Molecule: ribozyme, 73 nt
Filed under: Crocodylus porosus (Australian saltwater crocodile)
Lineage: Eukaryota; Metazoa; Chordata; Crocodylia; Crocodylidae
Description: Mammalian CPEB3 ribozyme (ENSCPRG00005003484.1)
Rfam family: Mammalian CPEB3 ribozyme
About the family: The mammalian CPEB3 ribozyme is a self cleaving RNA located in the second intron of the CPEB3 gene which belongs to a family of genes regulating messenger RNA polyadenylation. This ribozyme is highly conserved and found only in mammals.
Source: Rfam by way of RNAcentral
GGUUGCAAGUUUGAGGCCACAGCAGAAACCUGGUGUGCCCCUGUUAGAUUCCAGUGAAUCUGUGAAUUCUGCU